Molecule: ribosomal RNA, 392 nt
Filed under: Pseudodendromonadales sp.
Lineage: Eukaryota; Bigyra; Bicosoecida
Description: SSU rRNA
Rfam family: Eukaryotic small subunit ribosomal RNA
Source: RNAcentral
GGAAGUUGGAGGCAAUAACAGGUCUGUGAUGCCCUUAGAUGUUCUGGGCCGCACGCGCGCUACACUGACUGGCUCAACGAGUUCACCCUGGACUCCGACAGGUCUGGGUAAUCUUGGAACACCAGUCGUGCUGGGGAUAGAUUCUUGCAAUUAUUGAUCUUCAACGAGGAAUUCCUAGUAAACGCAAGUCAUCAGCUUGCAUUGAUUACGUCCCUGCCCUUUGUACACACCGCCCGUCGCACCUACCGAUUGAAUGGUCCGGUGAAAUCUUCGGAUCGGGGGUUCCGCGGCCCUCUGGGUUGCGGGCUUCCGAGAAGUUGAUUAAACCUUACCAUUUAGAGGAAGGUGAAGUCGUAACAAGGUUUCCGUAGGUGAACCUGCAGAAGGAUCAA